This 253-nucleotide ribosomal RNA is filed under the name uncultured soil bacterium. Its description in RNAcentral is "partial 16S ribosomal RNA". It matches the Rfam family "Bacterial small subunit ribosomal RNA", at positions 26 to 264 of the family's 1533-position model. The record is from RNAcentral.
AGAAUGAACGCUGGCGGCGUGCUUAACACAUGCAAGUCGAGCGAGGCCAGGGGGGCAACUCCCUGAGUCGAGCGGCGGACGGGUGAGUAACACGUGGGUAACCUACCCGGAAGUGGGGAAUACCUCGGGGAAACUCGAGCUAAUACCGCAUGAAAUCUCGAGGACGAAAGUCCUUUUGAUCAAAGCGGGGCCGCAAGGCCUCGUGCUACCGGAUCGGGCCCGCGCCCGAUUAGCUAGUUGGCGAGGUAAUGGC